GCCCCCUUCGUCUAUCGGUUAGGACACCAGAUUUUCAAUCUGGUGAGAGGAGUUCGAUUCUCCUAGGGGGCGCCA
This 75-nucleotide transfer RNA is filed under the name Elusimicrobiota bacterium. RNAcentral describes it as "tRNA-Glu". It matches the Rfam family "tRNA". From Rfam's summary of the family: Transfer RNA (tRNA) molecules are approximately 80 nucleotides in length. Lineage: Bacteria; Pseudomonadati; Elusimicrobiota. The record is from RNAcentral.